GAUGAAGAACGCAGCGAAAGGCGAUACGUAAUGUGAAUUGCAGAAUUCAGUGAAUCAUCGAAUCUUUGAACGCAUAUUGCGCUCUCUGGUAUUCCGGAGAGCAUGCUUGUUUGAGUAUCAGUAAACACCUCAACUUCCAUAUCUUUUUUGAAAUGGGAGUUGGACUUGAGUGAUCCCAACGCUUUUCCUCACCGAAAAGUGGCGGGUUACUUGAAAUGCAGGUGCAGCUGGACUUUUCUCUGAGCUAUAAGCAUAUCUAUUUAGUCUGCCUAAAAAACAGAUUAUUACCUUUGCUGCAGCUAACAUAAAGGAGAUUAGUUCUUGUGCUGACUGAUGCAGGAUUCACAAAGACAGGCUUCGGCCGACUUUGUAAACUCGAUCUCAAAUCAAGUAAGACUACCCGCUGAACUUAAGCAUAUCAAUAAGCGGAGGA
Molecule: unclassified non-coding RNA, 433 nt
Filed under: soil metagenome
Description: partial contains 5.8S ribosomal RNA, internal transcribed spacer 2, and large subunit ribosomal RNA
Rfam family: 5.8S ribosomal RNA (bases 1-120)
Source: RNAcentral